Molecule: ribosomal RNA, 253 nt
Filed under: uncultured bacterium
Lineage: Bacteria
Description: partial 16S ribosomal RNA
Rfam family: Bacterial small subunit ribosomal RNA
Source: RNAcentral
AACGUAGGUGACGAGCGUUAUCCGGAUUUACUGGGCGUAAAGCGCGUGCAGGCGGCUUGGCAAGUCGGGCAUGAAAUCUCCUGGCUCAACUGGGAGACGCUGUCCGAUACUGUUAGGCUUGAGGGCAGUAGAGGGUGGUGGAAUUCCGCAUGUAGUGGUGAAAUGCGUAGAUAUGCGGAGGAACACCAGUGGCGAAGGCGGCCACCUGGACUGCUCCUGACGCUGAAGCGCGAAAGCUAGGGGAGCAAACGGG